Molecule: ribosomal RNA, 1031 nt
Filed under: human gut metagenome
Description: bacterial SSU rRNA
Rfam family: Bacterial small subunit ribosomal RNA
Source: RNAcentral
AAGAUUUGAUCCGGCUCCGGAGAACGCUAGGGGCAGCUUAACACAUGCAAGUCGAGGGGCAGCGCGGGAUAGCAUAUUCCGGCGCGACCCGCCGAAGGGUGCGUAACGCGUGAGCGACAUGCCCGUUGCCCGGGACAACCCGUGGAAACGCCGACUAAUCCCCGAUGGGAUACGAUGCCUCAUGGCAUUGUAUUGAAAGUUACGGCGGCGACGGAUUGGCUCGCGUCCGAUUAGCUUGUUGGCGGGGUAACGGCCCACCAAGGCUGCGAUCGGUAGGGGUUCUGAGAGGAAGGCCCCCCACAAUGGGACUGAGACACGGCCCAUACUCCUACGGGAGGCAGCAGUGAGGAAUAUUGGUCAAUGGGCGGAAGCCUGAACCAGCCAUGCCGCGUGCGGGAAGGAGGCCCUAUGGGCUGUGAACCGCUUUUGCCUGGGGGCAAUAAGGGCGUCGCGCACGUCCGAUGAGAGUACCAGGCGAAUAAGCAUCGGCUAACUCCGUGCCAGCAGCCGCGGUAAUACGGGGGAUGCGAGCGUUAUCCGGAUUCAUUGGGUUUAAAGGGUGCGUAGGCUGUGCGUCAAGUCGGGGGUGAAAUUCCGGUGCUCAACACCGGGGCUGCCCUUGAUACUGUCGCGCUGGAGUGCGGAUGCCGCCGGAGGAAUGAGUGGUGUAGCGGUGAAAUGCUUAGAUAUCACUCAGAACACCGAUUGCGAAGGCAUCUGGCGAAUCCGUAACUGACGCUGAGGCACGAAAGCGUGGGGAUAGAACAGGAUUAGAUACCCUGGUAUUCCACGCCGUAAACGAUGAUGGCUAACCGCCGGCGACACACUGUCGGUGGCCAAGCGAAAGCGAUAAGCCAUCCACCUGGGGAGUACGUCGGCAACGAUGAAACUCAAAGGAAUUGACGGGGGCCCGCACAAGCGGAGGAACAUGUGGUUUAAUUCGAUGAUACGCGAGGAACCUUACCCGGGCUCGAACGGCACCUGGAUCGCCCAGAGACGGGAGAGUCUUCGGACAGGUGUCGAGGUGCUGC